This 541-nucleotide ribosomal RNA is filed under the name uncultured archaeon. RNAcentral's name for it is "bacterial SSU rRNA". It matches the Rfam family "Archaeal small subunit ribosomal RNA", at positions 459 to 997 of the family's 1478-position model. The record is from RNAcentral.
CAGCCGCCGCGGGAACACCGGCGGCCCGAGUGGUGAUCGUGAUUAUUGGGUCUAAAGGGUCCGUAGCCGGUUUGGUCAGUCCUCCGGGAAAUCUGAUAGCUCAACUAUUAGGCUUUCGGGGGAUACUGCCAGACUUGGAACCGGGAGAGGUAAGAGGUACUACAGGGGUAGGAGUGAAAUCUUGUAAUCCCUGUGGGACCACCUGUGGCGAAGGCGUCUUACCAGAACGGGUUCGACGGUGAGGGACGAAAGCUGGGGGCACGAACCGGAUUAGAUACCCGGGUAGUCCCAGCCGUAAACGAUGCUCGCUAGGUGUCAGGCAUGGCGCGACCGUGUCUGGUGCCGCAGGGAAGCCGUGAAGCGAGCCACCUGGGAAGUACGGCCGCAAGGCUGAAACUUAAAGGAAUUGGCGGGGGAGCACAACAACGGGUGGAGCCCUGCGGUUUAAUUGGGACUCAACGCCGGACAACUCACCGGGGGCGACAGCAAUAUGUAGGCCAAGCUGAAGACUUUGCCUGAAUCGCUGAGAAGAGGUGCAUGG